This 1071-nucleotide long non-coding RNA is filed under the name Gossypium barbadense (sea-island cotton). RNAcentral describes it as "long non-coding RNA (GBAR_LNC007974)". Lineage: Eukaryota; Viridiplantae; Streptophyta; Magnoliopsida; Malvales; Malvaceae. The record is from RNAcentral.
AUGAGAUUGCUCAACAAAUUAUGUAGAUUCCUCUUGCGAAAAGUCCUCAUAACGACCUUUAAGUGUGGAAAGGAGAACCGUCUGGAGAAUUUACUGUCAAAAGUGCCUACAAACUAUUUCAAGAAGCUAUCUUGGAUCCUAGUUAUUAUUUUAUACAGGCCGACUCAAAGAAAUUCUACAAAAAAACUUUGGAAUCUAGGACUACCCUCAAAAAUACUGGUUACAAUAUGGAGAAUUACAUGGAACUAUAUUCCAACUAGGGAUUUAAAUAGCAGUCCGAUACGGCUAUAGCGACGCUAUAUAGCAGUAGCGGCGCCGUCCGAAACCGUUACUAUUGAAAAUAACAGUGUGAAGCGGAGUCCCACUGAUAGCGGUGGGUUGCGGCUACAAUUUAACGGGUAAUGGCCAGUUGCGGCAAUAACAGGCCGCUAUUCCCGUUAUUUUCCGUUGCAGUAAAUUAAAAAAAAUCCAUCUCCUCUAGACAAAAAUCAACAAAAACAGUGAAACACAAUAAAACAAAAGGGAAUAUAUUCUCCUGCCUGUAAAACCAGAGUGUUUUCAAUCAAAAAAAGAAAAAUGAAGACCAAAUAAAUAGAAAAAGCAAUCAAAAUUCAAAACUAAAAAUGAAAACCAAAUAAAUAGAAAAAGCAAUCAAAAUUCAAAACUCAAAAGCAAUAGAAAAUAUGAAAUUCUAUUUCUCAUAUUUCGGUCCCUAAACUCUAAACCAAACGGCAAACAAAGCAAACCCUGAUCACUUUCACAUUCAGAGAUUGAAAAUUUUCAAGUAAGUACCUAAAAUUUUGUCUUGAUUCUUGGCUUCUUGCUUGUUUUUGCAAUGCAAAUAUGUUCUUUAGAGUUUAGACUUUAGGUUAGGGAUGAAGGGAGAAGUUACAACCAGCAUAUUCCAAGAAUUUGAUAGAGUUUUGAGAGGAUAUGAGUUUUAAGAGGAUGAUAGACUUUAGGCCUCUUCAGUUUUUCUUUCUAAGUUUUCUGCCGUUUGAUUUCUUUUUUUCUUUAUUUUUUUCAUUUUUAUUUUCCUUUCCUCCUAGCCAAAACCAAGGCACUGUCUAG